This 461-nucleotide ribosomal RNA is filed under the name uncultured bacterium. RNAcentral's name for it is "partial 16S ribosomal RNA". It matches the Rfam family "Bacterial small subunit ribosomal RNA", at positions 29 to 507 of the family's 1533-position model. The record is from RNAcentral.
ACGAACGCUGGCGGCGUGCUUAACACAUGCCAGUCGAGCGGAAAGGCCCUUCGGGGUACUCGAGCGGCGAACGGGUGAGUAACACGUGAGUAACCUGCCCCAGACUUUGGGAUAACCCUCGGAAACGGGGGCUAAUACCGGAUACGACACAGCUUCGCAUGGGGUCUGUGUGGAAAGUUUUUCGGUUUGGGAUGGGCUCGCGGCCUAUCAGCUUGUUGGUGGGGUGAUGGCCUACCAAGGCGACGACGGGUAGCCGGCCUGAGAGGGCGACCGGCCACACUGGGACUGAGACACGGCCCAGACUCCUACGGGAGGCAGCAGUGGGGAAUAUUGCACAAUGGGCGGAAGCCUGAUGCAGCGACGCCGCGUGAGGGAUGACGGCCUUCGGGUUGUAAACCUCUUUCAGCAGGGACGAAGCGUAAGUGACGGUACCUGCAGAAGAAGCGCCGGCCAACUACGUG